Long non-coding RNA from Wyeomyia smithii (pitcher-plant mosquito), 3240 nucleotides. RefSeq lists it as uncharacterized. The transcript has 4 exons. Lineage: Eukaryota; Metazoa; Arthropoda; Insecta; Diptera; Culicidae. The record is from RefSeq and is a predicted model, not a curated record.
AACACGUACCUUUUUAUUUCUCCCUUCCAGUAAGGUUGGUUGUCCGAUCGUUCGAAGUAGCAGCCGUUACAGCCAGCAGCACCAAUACAGCAGCACCAAACAGCCACCAGCAGCGAGUCAGGUGUGAGAUCACUCCACACAGCGAUACAACUCGCUGACACUGAUGGCUUCUUCUUUUUCCUCGUUUGUGUCUCGUCCACUGCUGUAGCACAAUCCAGCCAGCAGCCAAAUCGGCUUACGCACCAGCUGGCAGUCACGAUGCGAAACAGUUGCACAAAGGCACGACCUUGAACCCGGAUUUAUUUCACUCGACCAGGCAAACAAUGCCAACACUUGUUCACACGUCUUUUGUUUUAUACUCUAUCGGACCGAUCACCAAACACGUCCAGUACUGAUGCGUGUUCGGCACAGAAUGGAAACUUUAUAUUGUGAGAUGAAAUUGAAGUGCAGAAGUGCUGGCAAAUGGCAAAAUAAAUAGUAGUGGAUACCAAAGAUUGUGAAGUGGCAAAAAUAAGUGUUUAUUUCGAAGGACUAUAAAUUUCUGUGGAUAGUGUCCGAACGAAAACGCUGUUGGCAAAAACGCCUUGUGAAACUAUAAUAUAACCCUAUUAGCGCGUGAGCGAUCCACGUAAGUUUGGAGGUUUGAUGAUGGAUUUAAAUUAAAGAAGAUCGAUUGCAUGAUCGAUUGAUCAGGGUGCAGAGCCUUUGGCGACACAUACUGAACAAGAAAAAAGGUAAGCCAAAAGGAGACCAUGAAUAUUUUAUGCAUUCACAGCAGCCGAAUUCAAGAUACAUAGUGUUCCGGCAUUUACCGGAAGGACUGGUUUAAUAUUUCUAUCAACACAUAAAAGCUUAUGGCGAACUAAAUGUAUUGUUGAUAAAUCCUGAGGAAAAAGCCAUCCAAUACCGACAGGAAUAGUAAACAUAUUUUCCAGGGGAAGGACAAGAAUAUGAUAUGAUCGUACCGUCAGGUUUUUUACGCUCUUUUCUGUGUUUUUUCACGAGGUUUUUACACGUAUUCUGGAAUUGACCUGUUUUUUUCACGCAGGUUUUUGAAUUACACCGAAACCCGGUUAUUGUAAAUUUUUUACGGGGAUUUUGAAAUCAACGCGGGUUUGUAACCGAAAUCGUCAGAGUUCAAUGAGUAAAAAAAGUGUUUAUUGAGUAAAAAACCUCCGCCCUCCGAAGGACUGUAAAAGAAGCCAAUUUUCAAAUACUGAUCGUAGAACGAUUCGGUUUUUUUAAUCAUUUUUUGGUGGUUUAUUUUCCGUAUUCCGCUUAAAAAAACUGACUGUAUAUGAUUUUGGGCUGCACAAUGACUUUGGUUUUACACAAACAGAGCACAAAGACUAACCCAUCUCACAGCCCAUCUAACAGAUCUGGUCUUACUGAACAAGGAGGUGAACAUCGAACAAGUGAAGGUAAAUAUUAUUGACAACUUGUAAUCUUUUCGGCUGAAAUAAGCCUGAAAGCAUACACAUUUACCAUUAACCUGUAUAACGUAGGUUUCCUCGCUCCAAUGUCUGAAAAUUUUCUCUCUUGUUUACUUUAAUAUUUAUUAUUUCGGUAGGUCAUUUUUUUCAUGAUUCACAUGAGAAGACAAAAUUUCAAAUCGAGUUUUUUUUCUCUUUUUCUUGUUCACUACGAAGAUGCUCCUGUAAUAAUCUGCAAUAUUAGGUUGGACGACUGUCAUGGAUGAGUACCUCAAGGCUGCCUAACGCCUUUUUCUACUGACAUAUUCUCUCCAUCGGCCGCUCAGACACAAGAUACAAACGAUUAAUCCUAUCGGCAGCAUGAUCUGUAACGGCAACAGCACUGGCAGCAAUAUAUUUUUCAUGCUCUUCUUACCAUUUUUAUUAAUAUUGAUACUUGAAAUAUGAUAGUCCAGAUUAAUUUCAAAUUAUUCGGUCGCAUCCCCGGAUGGAGCCAACAAAACUAAAAAAACUUAAAUUGACCAGUUUAAAAAGCAGAACUCAUAGACAUUCUCCACCGAAAACUUAGUUGAAGGGCUCAUCAACGCCCUAGAAAUAUACGGCCUUCUGACUCCUUUUCACUAAUCAGGCUAAAGGCUCGGAUGUUGUUCCUGAUAGCAUGCGAAUAAACUCAAAACUUCAGGUAGACGUCCUACUGGAUUUGUCAAAGUCUAAAUCCGCCUUGAUGUCACAUUUACGGGAUAGGGAUAAUUUUCGAUAUAUGAUAAACGCAUGCGCUGGUACUAGCAGAAGACACGAUGAAUCGUUCGAAUGACUUUUUCCCUAACCGCCAACCAAAUGGAUGUUGCUGCAAAAAUCAAAGACCGAAUUCGCAACUACAUUAAGUUUCAGAUACUGUUAUCGAUAGGACAAUCAGGAAUUCAUCAUGGAGCGUAGUAGCUUAAGUAUGCUGUUGGCACACUUGAAGGGCAACCGGGUAUUUGGAGGCCAAACGUGCUGGAUGUGGCUCACAAUAAAUCAUUCUUGUUUACAUCAGUGUAAGCUAACGGUAUUUUGCGUCGAUAAUAAUAUCUUUGUUACCGCUUACAUCCCGGUGGUGUCUCCUGCUAGACCAUAAGGGAAGGCGACAUUGUUCUGUUGGAGGAUAAUAAAAUUGAAGGCACACCUGGACCUGGAAGCGCAAAUAAGUAAAAACAAACAAGAACCUGCAACGGAACUUGUUCAGAGAGACAAAACCAAAAAAAUAACAGAAGCUGUUAGUUCGUUAUCAGGAAAACCUUUCUAGUUUUAAACUUGAACACAAUCUAGUUUUAAACUUGAUUCCGUUAGGUAUUAGAAAAAACAGAAGUUGUUUUACUAGUAUCAAAUCUAUGUCCAACUCUUACUAACGUAUCUACUUCCUAACAUAAUGAAAUAGUGUAUAAAACAGGCAGCCAUUGUUGGAAAAACAUGAUUUACUAGAAUCGAGAGUAUGGUUAAGAAAAACUUAAUUUCAGGAUUUAAUAUCCGAUCUUAUGUUUUUAUCGAAAGCAUUUGGCAAUAUACUAAAUCGAAACAGAAUAUGUUAUUCAUAUCUCAUGUAGGUUUAACGAAAAUAUUAUUGCUUGGAUUUUCGGCUCAUCAGUUUAUUCAAAUUUCUGUUCUAGUUUGUUUCUGAUAGUAAAACAUUUAAGAUUAUAAUUAAACUAGUUCUUGCACAAAAAUAAAAACUACAGUAAAUAUUUUCUAUAAUCUAGUUACUCGAAGCAUUAUUUGUAGAUCGCGCAGUGUAAGACGUUUGUUUUCAAGCUGUUCAUUAAUAGAGAAA